Long non-coding RNA from Oncorhynchus gorbuscha (pink salmon), 3106 nucleotides. RefSeq lists it as uncharacterized. The record is from RefSeq and is a predicted model, not a curated record. Lineage: Eukaryota; Metazoa; Chordata; Actinopteri; Salmoniformes; Salmonidae. The transcript is spliced from 2 exons.
UUGAUGUGAACUGAGUCAUUACUGAACUCCAUGUCCCUGUAUCUACUGGAUGCUGCUGUGAACUGAGUCUUUACUGAACUCUCCAUGUCCCUGUGUCUACUGGAUGUUGAUGUGAACUGAGUCAUUACUGAACUCCAUGUCCCUGUGUCUACUGGCUGCUGCUGUGAACUGAGUCAUUACUGAACUCCAUGUCCCUGUGUCUACUGGCUGCUGCUGUGAACUGAGUCAUUACUGAACUCCAUGUCCCUGUGUCUACUGGCUGCUGCUGUGAACUGAGUCAUUACUGAACUCUCUCCAUGUCCCUGUAUCUACUGGAUGCUGCUGUGAACUGAGUCAUUACUGAACUCUCUCCAUGGCCCUGUGUCUACUGGAUGCUGCUGUGAACUGAGUCAUUACUGAACUCUCUCCAUGUCCCUGUAUCUACUGCAUGCUGCUGUGAACUGAGUCAUUACUGAACUCUCUCCAUGUCCCUGUAUCUACUGGAUGCUGCUGUGAACUGAGUCAUUACUGAACUCUCCAUGUCCCUGUGUCUACUGGAUGCUGCUGUGAACUGAGUCAUUACUGAACUCUCUCCAUGGCCCUGUGUCUACUGGAUGCUGCUGUGAACUGAGUCAUUACUGAACUCUCUCCAUGGCCCUGUGUCUACUGGAUGCUGCUGUGAACUGAGUCAUUACUGAACUCUCUCCAUGUCCCUGUAUCUACUGGAUGCUGCUGUGAACUGAGUCAUUACUGAAAUCUCUCCAUGUCCCAGUAUCUACUGACCAGGUCAGUAGACCAGGAAGUAACACGUGGCGCUGACAUUUAGGCCGAGGCCUGGACCAUCACAGUAGGUGUGAGCAGAACAUGUUGAGCAUCUGAUACAUCCUGCGACCUAAGGGGAUCGAAGGAAAGCCUGAGCUGGGGGCCUCAUUGUACUUCGGCUGGGUGGCGGCUGCCCUGCUCCUGAUUGGAGGGGUCAUACUGUGCAUCACUGUGGGAGUCUUUGGGUGGAUGAUGGGGAUCUUUGGAUGGAUAGUCUCCCGAGUGUCCUGUGCUCUCUCUAUAUUGCUCCCAUUCAGUUAUUAUCCGGUACCCCAAUAUAGGAACAUUUGGAAGGUUCUGAUCACAACCUCCAUCUCCUCCAUCCUGGGAGCUCUAGGAGUGAUGGGCUCCAUCUUUGGGACCAGGUGCUGUAACUGCAUCAAGAGUAACAGGAUCAGGGUCAAGGCCAGGUUCAUCGUUGGAAUAUUCUUCAUCCUGGCUGGUAUCCUGCAGCUCACCACUGUGUUUUUGGUUGACCAUUACUUAAGAACGGAUGUCCACCUGCAGCUCAACCCAUUCGUCCUGUUUACCCAUAAUGACCUGGUAUUUUAGCUGAAUUCAAUAGGUGGUCCUCCUCCAUGCUCCUGAUAGGAGGGACUAUACUCUGCUGCUGUAUCUACAAGAGGAACCAGUCAGACUCAACGACAACUCAAUCAACCUCCCGCUAACAGCUCUGUCUUCAACAGUCAUAUAGGUCUUUAUGUCAUAUUGUGGUGGGACCAUAGUCUGGUGCAGCUGUUGCUGCUACUGCUUUAACAGAGAGGCUGUACUUUUUUUAAAUGAAAACAAUGGAGAGAAUAUAAUUGUGAUUCUAUAUGUAAUUCUAUGAUAAAACGGCCUCUAUCCUUUCUGUUCAGUGUUUAACAGUCAGAAAGGACCUGAUAGGUGUUAAAGCAACAUAGUCAUUGUUCCACCUUGUCUUUAACACGUCAAAGAGGAGUUUAUGACAUAUUGUGUUCAAAUAUUCAGUUAAUUUAGACUGGGAGUUCCUGAGGAGACUCUGCAAUGAAGGGACAUAUUCUCACUGUUUCCUCUCUGAUGUUCUAUACCAGUAUUGACACUUCUCUUUAUGCUUCUUUAAAAUGGGAUGAAUUUAAGUGGAGAUUAAUUGAAUCAGUAGUUGAUUGUUUAAUCCUGUUAAAGAUGUUCAAAUUAAAAACAUAUCAGACAGCAAAGUGUUUCCUGGUUGCUGCUGUGCAUUUCCUGUUUAUGUUCACCAUGUUAACCACAAGCCUACAGUCAGUGACUGGGACCUUCUGACUGAAACAUAUAUCAUAGUGUAGGAUUAUUUCAACCAUUAGUCUAUUGUAUAGUUCAUUUCAGUCCAUGGAUCGAACCUUAAAAUGAUUUGUUUCACACUCGAGACGCUCGCAGGGAGCCAGCAUGCUGAAGUGCAUGGAGAUCAUGGGCUUCACUAUAGGAGUCAUAGGAUGGAUUGUCUCUAUAGUGCCCUGUGCUUUGUUUACAUCGGGAGUGAUGGACUUUCCACAGUACAGAGAGGUCAGUCUGGUUCAGAUCAUCACCUACUUCUCCAUUAUUCUAGGGUUGCUAGGGAUGAUAUUCUCCAUCUCAGGAACAAAGUGCACCAACUGUACCCAGAGGAAUAUGAAUACGUCUAUAGCUGAAGUGAUUAUCUUUGGAGGAAUAUUCUUCAUCCUGGCCGGUCUCAUCCACCUGAUCUUGAUCUUCUUGGUUGUCCUUGACUUGACACAAAACUCGGACCCUGAGAACUUCCUGCGGAGUAAUAACCUUACGUUCUCAGCUGAAUUUAACAGAUGGGCUGCUUCACUGCUUCUGAUAGGAGGAACUAUACUCUGCUGCUGUUGCUGCUUCAUGAAACAAAAACCUGAGUUGAAAACGGACUCUGAUUCCCUAAGUCAUGUCUUACACAACCUGAAUUUAUCUUAGCCAUUCUACCACUGUAAGCAAUAGGUUGUAAGCAAUACAUGCAGUAUAGUCAUAAGGAAUAUGAUGAUAUAUAAUAGCUACACUUAGAAAUCAGUUGAAUCAGGUGUGUUACUGCCUGGCUGGAAUAAAAGCCUACAUCCACACUGGUGCUUUUCAGGACUGAUGCUGUUCUUUGAAUCAGUAAGACUUACUCAAAAUGGCCAUACAAAAAGUAUUGCCAUGUGGUGACUCAGUGAUGCACAGAAUAGACUCCCACUUGAGAGAGAGAUGUAAGCAUGCUGUCUAAGGGCUGGGGAUGAAGUGGGAUGUUUUUAUAGGUAAACUGCUUUUCCAUUAUUAUUUACAAUAAAUUAUUAAAUAAUUAUUAAAUUAUUAAAUCUUAUUAAAUUGCAACUCU